GAACACUUGACACACGCAAUACUCCUGUUAAACACCAAGAAGAUUAUCCCUCACGAUGCUGAAGACUUUGGUAGUCUUGUGCUCGAUUUUCUUCGUGUUAAUCAAGGGGUUUCCACAUUCGAGCAGUGAUGACAAAUGUACACCGGCCAAUCCAUNAGAAGGAGAAGCAUGUGGAGAGGAAGGAAUAAGUGAGAAUGAUUGCAAGGCAAAAGGAUGCUGCUUCCUUCCCGAGCCUCUCCCUGGCGUUUCACGUUGUUUCACAAAACGUGUUUCUUGUGAUGUAUCCAUACUGAACAGAAAAGAAUGUGCACCGGAUUCAGUAAGCAAGNAAUACUGUGAAAACCAAGGAUGUUGCUAUGAAAAGCUUGGAGAAGGUGUUCCAACAUGCCACAAAAAAGACUAAAUUAAGAGAUGAUUCAAAAGUCAUAAAUAAAAUUGUGGGCAAUGCAAAGGUUAAAUUGUAGCAUAACAAAAUUUGUUGUCGAUUUUAAAGUUGUCAAUAAAAUGCAAAAUCUUA
This 517-nucleotide long non-coding RNA is filed under the name Exaiptasia diaphana. Its description in RNAcentral is "uncharacterized LOC110233596, transcript variant X2". The record is from RNAcentral. Lineage: Eukaryota; Metazoa; Cnidaria; Anthozoa; Actiniaria; Aiptasiidae.